Molecule: ribosomal RNA, 253 nt
Filed under: uncultured bacterium
Lineage: Bacteria
Description: partial 16S ribosomal RNA
Rfam family: Bacterial small subunit ribosomal RNA
Source: RNAcentral
UACGAAGGGGGCUAGCGUUGCUCGGAUUGACUGGGCGUAAAGGGCGCGUAGGCGGUCUGUCCAGUCAGGCGUGAAAUUCCUGGGCUCAACCUGGGGGCUGCGUUUGAUACGUGCAGACUAGAGUGCGGAAGAGGGUCGUGGAAUUCCCAGUGUAGAGGUGAAAUUCGUAGAUAUUGGGAAGAACACCGGUGGCGAAGGCGGCGACCUGGUCCGAUACUGACGCUGAGGCGCGAAAGCGUGGGGAGCAAACAGG